CCUACGGGAGGCAGCAGUGGGGAAUAUUGCACAAUGGGGGGAACCCUGAUGCAGCGACGCCGCGUGAGUGAAGAAGUAUUUCGGUAUGUAAAGCUCUAUCAGCAGGGAAGAAAAUGAAGGUACCUGACUAAGAAGCCUCGGCUAACUACGUGCCAGCAGCCGCGGUAAUACGGAGGGGGCAAGCGUUAUCCGGAGUUACUGGGUGUAAAGGGAGCGGAGACGGGUAGGCAAGACUGAAGUGAAAGCCCCAGGCUCAAACAUGGGACUGGUUUGGAAACUGUAAAACUGGAGUGCAGGAGAGGUAAGCGGAAUUCCUAGUGUAGCGGUGAAAUGCGUAGAUAUUAGGAGGAACACCAGUGGCGAAGGCGGCUUACUGGACUGUAACUGACGUUGAGGCUCGAAGGCGUGGGGAGCAAACAGGAUUAGAUACCCUGGUAGUC
This 440-nucleotide ribosomal RNA is filed under the name uncultured bacterium. RNAcentral's name for it is "partial 16S ribosomal RNA". It matches the Rfam family "Bacterial small subunit ribosomal RNA", at positions 338 to 795 of the family's 1533-position model. The record is from RNAcentral.